This 126-nucleotide microRNA precursor is filed under the name Brassica napus (rape). RNAcentral describes it as "MIR9563 microRNA precursor family". It matches the Rfam family "MIR9563 microRNA precursor family". The record is from Rfam by way of RNAcentral. Lineage: Eukaryota; Viridiplantae; Streptophyta; Magnoliopsida; Brassicales; Brassicaceae.
GGAAGUUAAGAAAUUGUUUCUUAAUUUUUAACUAAAAAAAAUUAAAAACCGAUUCUUAAAUAAGAAUUUUAUGAACUGGUUCUUAGUUUUUUUAGUUAAAAGUUAAGAAACUGUUUAUUAACUUCC